This 498-nucleotide ribosomal RNA is filed under the name uncultured bacterium. Its description in RNAcentral is "partial 16S ribosomal RNA". It matches the Rfam family "Bacterial small subunit ribosomal RNA", at positions 28 to 523 of the family's 1533-position model. The record is from RNAcentral.
GACGAACGCUGGCGGCGUGCCUAACACAUGCAAGUCGAGCGGAGUCAGUAAGAGGAAGUUUUCGGAUGGAAUCUUAUUGAUUUAGCGGCGGACGGGUGAGUAACGCGUGAGCGACCAACCCUGCACAGGGGGGUAACGGACCGAAAGGUUCACUAAUACCGCAUGAGACCACGGUGUUGCAUGACACAGGGGUCAAAGGAGUAAUCCGGUGCAAGACGGGCUCGCGUCCGAUUAGGUAGUUGGAGGGGUAACGGCCCACCAAGCCUAUGAUCGGUAGCCGAGCGGUGAGGGUGAUCGGCCACAUUGGAGCUGAGAUACGGUCCAAACUCCUACGGGAGGCAGCAGUGGGGAAUAUUGGGCAAUGGGGGAAACCCUGACCCAGCAACGCCGCGUGAAGGAAGAAGGUUUUCGGAUUGUAAACUUCUGUCCUUGGUGAAGAGAAGAAGACGGUAGCCAAGGAGGAAGCCCCGGCUAACUACGUGCCAGCAGCCGCCGUAA